AUUGAACGCUGGCGGCAGGCCUAACACAUGCAAGUCGAACGGUAGCACAGAGAGCUUGCUCUCGGGUGACGAGUGGCGGACGGGUGAGUAACGUCUGGGAAACUGCCCGAUGGAGGGGGAUAACUACUGGAAACGGUAGCUAAUACCGCAUAGUGUCGCAAGACCAAAGAGGGGGACCUUCGGGCCUCUUGCCAUCGGAUGUGCCCAGAUGGGAUUAGCUUGUUGGUGAGGUAAAGGCUCACCAAGGCGACGAUCCCUAGCUGGUCUGAGAGGAUGACCAGCCACACUGGAACUGAGACACGGUCCAGACUCCUACGGGAGGCAGCAGUGGGGAAUAUUGCACAAUGGGCGCAAGCCUGAUGCUGCCAUGCCGCGUGUGUGAAGAAGGCCUUCGGGUUGUAAAGCACUUUCAGCAGGGAGGAAGGCGGUGAGUUUAAUAAGCUCACCGAUUGACGUUACCCGCAGAAGAAGCACCGGCUAACUCCGUGCCAGCAGCCGCAGUAA
Molecule: ribosomal RNA, 504 nt
Filed under: uncultured bacterium
Lineage: Bacteria
Description: partial 16S ribosomal RNA
Rfam family: Bacterial small subunit ribosomal RNA
Source: RNAcentral